GAUCGGUCCCGAGGUGGAGAGAUCGCGGGUCCAGCCAGCACGCAGUCGGUCGGCCGGCGAUCGCGCGACGUCGCGUUGCUCUCUCGCGGACGAUCCGGUCGACGUUCCUCCGUUUGUCGAAUUGCUCGCGAAUGCCAAAUGCCAGAAAAAAGGAAGACGAGAGCGCGCGGCUGAAGAACGACGGCAGGAGCGCGGGUGGAGGAGGCGUCAGACGAAGAAGGAGGCGGCGAUUGUGCGUGCUGUAAUCAGCGGAGUCGUGUAACGUCGUCGUGCUGUCGUCCUCCGGACAACCGGAGGAAACACGGAUGGCCUGUACGCGUCACUGCACGGUAGAGCGAACAACAGAAUAAUGGCCACGGUAUGCUGGAUCGUCGAGGGGGCCAAAAGCAGGCCCCCAAGUUCGGGUGGAACCCGCUGGUCCGGCAAAUAAAACACUCGACGCCUUGCACUCGCUCUCUGUCUCUCUCCUGUCUCCCCGCGGUCCCUCUGACUGUCCUCUCGGUCAGCUGUCCGUCUUUAUCGCACGAAUCCCCACCCACUAAUACAUCGCUCUCUCGCUUCCUUUGUAUCUGCUCUCUCCGUUGCUGUAUCUUUCUUCUAUCUCCGGUUGGAGAAGAUAUCACGACUUGUCACCAAUCGAGUCUUUCCUUUCACACUCGGAAUUCGAAGUAGCCGGAAUGUUAUGGUAAACUUUAUUACGUCCAGCGUGAGAACGUGAGCGUCCGAAUUUGCUUGGAAUCGAAAUAAAAAUUGUUCAGAGGAAGGUAGCUCGAAUUCAAGAAUAUUGUAGUCUCGAAUUUGACACCCUUUAUGUGAAGAUUUCUUUUCUCUUAUCGUACUUUGCUCGAAUCUUUAAGACUUUCGAAGAACUGAAGUCCCCGAACUUGAGAUAGAACACUGUGUUUCCAAAUUUUGAACGACGCAUCGUUCAGAAAUAGAAUUCAGCGGCGCCGAAACUUCAUCAUUCACACGUCAGUAGAUGCUUUCACGAAUCGGAUCCGGUGUAUUGCGCUCGGGCAUCCGGAACGGAUUCAACAAUCGCGCGAACUAUUCGAGCGAUUUAUCGGCGAGCGCACGCUCGAUUGACGUUUAUCUCUCUCGCACUGACGUUUUCGGUAACACAGCACUAGCUCCGGUACUCGUUCUAUCGCUCCAGCGCGAGAGUCUCGAACGAGACGCACGGAUGGAAUUCUGCGCGAGUCGUAUGGACAACGCGGGAUCGACGAUCGAUCGAUCAGCAUUUACGCGCUGCUCUCGCGCCUUACGAUCCCUUCGGCAACGAUCCUCCCCUCAGAUCACCCACGCCCAUGGAUGGCAUCAGGAGGUCCCGCAAACGAUCUCGCGCGAAUCUCGGACGAAACGUGAGCGAUGAAAGUGUCGCGCGGCCGCCGAUCGCCGAUCCAGACUGAGCGCGAAUGGCGAGCGUGAAAUAAGCACGGGCUGUCGGCCGCGUUACGCUCUCGACCGCGCGAAACUGACGGCGAAUGUCCCGGAUCGGUAUGGUGUCGAGACCCAAGACAAAACGAAAGGAACGUCGAGGCAUUAGCGACAAUCCCAGCUGGUUCCUCAUUCCGUGGCUCUCGGAUUCCCAGACAGCUUUUACUUGGCGUUAAACGAGACGCAACACGAUUGUAAAGUGUUAGUAGUUAUCAUUCAGUAUGUAUACUUGUCGAAGGCUGACGAUACACACGCAUGCAUGGACAUACGUAACAUGCAAUAUCGGAUCAU
Long non-coding RNA from Ooceraea biroi (clonal raider ant), 1728 nucleotides. RefSeq lists it as uncharacterized. The record is from RefSeq and is a predicted model, not a curated record. Lineage: Eukaryota; Metazoa; Arthropoda; Insecta; Hymenoptera; Formicidae.